GGAAUAUUGCACAAUGGGGGAAACCCUGAUGCAGCCAUGCCGCGUGUGUGAAGAAGGCCUUCGGGUUGUAAAGCACUUUCAGCGAGGAGGAAAGGUUGGCGCCUAAUACGUGUCAACUGUGACGUUACUCGCAGAAGAAGCACCGGCUAACUCCGUGCCAGCAGCCGCGGUAAUACGGAGGGUGCAAGCGUUAAUCGGAAUUAUUGGGCGUAAAGCGCACGCAGGCGGUUGGGUAAGUUAGAUGUGAAAGCCCCGGGCUCAACCUGGGAAUUGCAUUUAAAACUGUCCAGCUAGAGUCUUGUAGAGGGGGGUAGAAUUCCAGGUGUAGCGGUGAAAUGCGUAGAGAUCUGGAGGAAUACCGGUGGCGAAGGCGGCCCCCUGGACAAAGACUGACGCUCAGGUGCGAAAGCGUGGGGAGCAAACAGGAUUAGAUACCCGGG
This 440-nucleotide ribosomal RNA is filed under the name uncultured Aeromonas sp. RNAcentral's name for it is "bacterial SSU rRNA". It matches the Rfam family "Bacterial small subunit ribosomal RNA", at positions 358 to 790 of the family's 1533-position model. The record is from RNAcentral. Lineage: Bacteria; Pseudomonadati; Pseudomonadota; Gammaproteobacteria; Aeromonadales; Aeromonadaceae.